AGAGUUUGAUCCUGGCUCAGAAUGAACGCUGGCGGCGUGCAUAACACAUGCAAGUCGAACGAGAAACCCCGGCUUGCCGGGGGAGUAAAGUGGCGAACGGGUGAGUAACGCGUGGGUAACCUGCCCCUGAAUCUGGAAUAACCCGUCGAAAGGCGGCCUAAUACCUCAUAACACAUUGAAUUCGCAUGGAUUUAAUGUCAAAGGUUUGUUUGCAAGAGCAGACGCAUAAGGAUGGGCCUGCGUUCCAUUAGUUAGUUGGUGGGGUAACGGCUCACCAAGGCAGCGAUGGAUAGCUGAUUUGAGAGAGUGAUCAGCCACACUGGGACUGAGAUACGGCCCAGACUCCUACGGGAGGCAGCAGUGAGGAAUAUUGCGCAAUGGAGGAAACUCUGACGCAGCAACGCCGCGUGGGGGAUGAAGCUCUAUGGAGUGUAAACCCCUGUAAGCAGGGACGAAAGGUGUGUAAUCGAAAGGUUAUAUGCGUGACGGUACCUGCAGAGUAAGCUCCGGCUAACUCCGUGCCAGCAGCCGCGGUAAUACGGGGGGAGCGAGCGUUGUCCGGAAUUACUGGGCGUAAAGGGCGUGUAGGCGGUUUGAUAAGUCAGAUGUUAAAGGUCCCGGCUUAACCGGGGAAGGUCAUUUGAGACUGUCAGGCUUGAGUGCGAGAGAGGGUAGCGGAAUUCCCAGUGUAGCGGUGAAAUGCGUAGAUAUUGGGAAGAACACCAGUAGCGCAGGCGGCUACCUGGCUCGUAACUGACGCUGAGGCGCGAAAGCGUGGGGAGCAAACAGGAUUAGAUACCCUGGUAGUC
RNAcentral lists this ribosomal RNA (809 nucleotides) under uncultured bacterium. RNAcentral's name for it is "bacterial SSU rRNA". It matches the Rfam family "Bacterial small subunit ribosomal RNA", at positions 8 to 795 of the family's 1533-position model. The record is from RNAcentral.